Molecule: ribosomal RNA, 497 nt
Filed under: uncultured bacterium
Lineage: Bacteria
Description: partial 16S ribosomal RNA
Rfam family: Bacterial small subunit ribosomal RNA
Source: RNAcentral
GAUGAACGCUGGCGGCGUGCCUAAUACAUGCAAGUCGAGCGGACACACGAGUAGCUUUCUCCGCUGACGUUAUCGGCGGACGGGUGAUUAACACGUGGAGAACCUACCUAUUAGAAUGGGAUAAUUUCGGGAAACCGGAGCUAAUACCGGAUAAUAAAUUGAACCAAAUGGUUCAAUAGUGAAAGACGGUUUUGCUGUCGCUUAUAGAUGGAUCCGCUCCGAAUUAGCUAGUUGGUAAGGUAACGGCUUACCAAGGCAACGAUGCGUAGCCGACCUGAGAGGGUGAACGGCCACACUGGCACUGAGACCCGGCCGAGACUCCUGCGGGAGGACGCAGUAGGGAAUCUUCCGCAAUGGGGGAAAGCCUGACGGAGCAACGCCGGGGGAGUGAUGAAGGUCUUCGGCUCGUAAAACUCUGUUAUCAGGGAAGAACAAAUGUGUAAGUAACUAUGAACGUCAUGACGGUACCUAAUGAGAAAGCAACGGCUAACUACGUG